This 253-nucleotide ribosomal RNA is filed under the name uncultured bacterium. RNAcentral describes it as "partial 16S ribosomal RNA". It matches the Rfam family "Bacterial small subunit ribosomal RNA", at positions 524 to 776 of the family's 1533-position model. The record is from RNAcentral.
UACGAAGGGGGCUAGCGUUGUUCGGAAUUACUGGGCGUAAAGCGCGUGUAGGCGGGUCUUUAAGUCAGGGGUGAAAUGCCAAGGCUCAACCUUGGAACUGCCUUUGAUACUGGAGAUCUUGAGUCCGGGAGAGGUGAGUGGAACUGCGAGUGUAGAGGUGAAAUUCGUAGAUAUUCGCAAGAACACCAGUGGCGAAGGCGGCUACCUGGACCGGUUCUGACGCUGAGGCGCGAAAGCGUGGGGAGCAAACAGG